Megalops cyprinoides (Indo-Pacific tarpon) is the source of this 498-nucleotide long non-coding RNA. RefSeq lists it as uncharacterized. NCBI's taxonomy places the organism in Eukaryota, Metazoa, Chordata, Actinopteri, Elopiformes, Megalopidae. The transcript has 3 exons. The record is from RefSeq and is a predicted model, not a curated record.
UUGUGCUUAGUGGAUGUGCUGAAUGCGGAGCCGUGAUCCGUGUGAGAGUGUGCAUUUUUCCCCAUCCACUUCCUUACAGAUGCAAUAGAAUCCCCCAUGCCUGCAGCACAGCUGAGUACUGGAAGGGGAGAGUAAGAGACUGCAAAAAGAGGAAAAACGACAGAUGUAACAUAUAUUCUCUUCGGCAAAUAAAUAGUAGCUGGCUGUGCUGUGGACGGUAGAAAUUUUCUGCAAACGAAGCAAACCAGCGUACCACGAAGUAGAGACUAUAGGCGAUCAGCCGGCAGCAUUUGUCUGAAGGAACAUUGGCUGCAUUUCCCGUCUUCGUGAAAUAAGGACUCUGUUCGGAAAGACACAGGGAAAAGGUCCAGAGCCACCCAGCUUCGCACCUUACACAGACGGGAACCACAUCUCCACUGGUGCCCCCUGUUGCCCCACCCAGUCCUCCACCUGUCUCCUGAUGUAUUCAAGCACACAUUGUUGAACGUAAGUGCUGUU